This 253-nucleotide ribosomal RNA is filed under the name uncultured bacterium. RNAcentral describes it as "partial 16S ribosomal RNA". It matches the Rfam family "Bacterial small subunit ribosomal RNA", at positions 524 to 776 of the family's 1533-position model. The record is from RNAcentral.
UACGGGGGGGGCAAGCGUUGUUCGGAAUUACUGGGCGUAAAGGGUUUGUAGGUGGCUUGUUAAGUCAGACGUGAAAUCCCUCAGCUUAACUGGGGAACUGCGUCUGAGACUGGUGAGCUUGAGUGCAGGAGAGGAACGCGGAAUUCCAGGUGUAGCGGUGAAAUGCGUAGAUAUCUGGAGGAACACCAAUAGCGAAGGCAGCUCGCUGGGACGGUACUGACGCUGAGGCGCGAAAGCGUGGGGAGCGAACAGG